CCAGUGGUGGACGCGACACGAGUGAGAAUGCAGGCAUGAGUAGCGAAUGCAAUGUGAGAAACAUUGCCGCCGAAUGAUCAAGGGUUCCAGGGUCAAGCUAAUCUGCCCUGGGUAAGUCGGGACCUAAGGCGAGGCCGACAGGCGUAGUCGAUGGACAACGGGUUGAUAUUCCCGUACCGGCAAAGUAGCGCCCAUGCUGAACCUGGUGAUGCUAACCGCCCGAAGCCAUGAGUAUUGAUCCCUUCGGGGUGAGAGCUUGUGGGGGAGCGCGGGACCCGAGCUGGUAGUAGGCAAGCGAUGGGGUGACGCAGGAAGGUAGCCCAGCCGUGGCGAUGGUUGUCCACGGGUAAGUGCGUAGGGUGUCAUCUAGGUAAAUCCGGAUGGCUGACUUUGAUGUCGGGCCUGAGACACGAUACGGAGCCGUUUGGUGAAGUGGGUGAUCCUAUGCUGUCGAGAAAAACCUCUAGCGAGCUAUGCGCCGCCCGUACCCCAAACCGACUCAGGUGAUCAGGUAGAGAAUACUAAGGCGAUCGAGCGAACCAUGGUUAAGGAACUCGGCAAAAUGCCCCCGUAACUUCGGGAGAAGGGGGGCCGGAUCCGUCAAACUCCUUGCGAGUGGCAGCGGUGAUGGCCGCAGAGACCAGGCCCAAGCGACUGUUUACUAAAAACACAGGUCCGUGCGAAGUUGUAAGACGAUGUAUACGGACUGACUCCUGCCCGGUGCUGGAAGGUUAAGAGGACCUGUUAGGUGGUAACACCGAAGCGGAGAAUUUAAGCCCCAGUAAACGGCGGUGGUAACUAUAACCAUCCUAAGGUAGCGAAAUUCCUUGUCGGGUAAGUUCCGACCUGCACGAAUGGAGUAACGACUUGGGCGCUGUCUCAACCGUGGACUCGGCGAAAUUGCACUACGAGUAAAGAUGCUCGUUACGCGCGGCAGGACGGAAAGACCCCGGGACCUUUACUAUAGUUUGGUAUUGGUGUUUGGUUCGGCUUGUGUAGGAUAGGUGGGAGACUUUGAAGCAUCGACGCCAGUUGGUGUGGAGUCAACGUUGAAAUACCACUCUGGUCGUACUAGAUGUCUAACCUAGGUCCGUAAUCCGGAUCAGGGACAGUGCCUGAUGGGUAGUUUAACUGGGGCGGUUGCCUCCUAAAAUGUAACGGAGGCGCUCAAAGGUUCCCUCAGCCUGGUUGGCAAUCAGGUGUUGAGUGUAAGUGCACAAGGGAGCUUGACUGUGAGACAGACAUGUCGAGCAGGGACGAAAGUCGGAACUAGUGAUCCGGCGUCGGCAUGUGGAAGCGACGUCGCUCAACGGAUAAAAGGUACCCCGGGGAUAACAGGCUGAUCUUCCCCAAGAGUCCAUAUCGACGGGAUGGUUUGGCACCUCGAUGUCGGCUCGUCGCAUCCUGGGGCUGGAGUAGGUCCCAAGGGUUGGGCUGUUCGCCCAUUAAAGCGGCACGCGAGCUGGGUUUAGAACGUCGUGAGACAGUUCGGUCCCUAUCCGCCGCGCGCGCAGGAAACUUGAGAAAGGCUGUCCCUAGUACGAGAGGACCGGGAUGGACGAACCUCUGGUGUGCCAGUUGUCCCGCCAGGGGCACGGCUGGUUAGCUACGUUCGGAAGUGAUAACCGCUGAAUGCAUCUAAGCGGGAAGCAUGUUUCAAGAUGAGGUUUCCCACCCGCUUGACGGGGUAAGGCCCCCAGCAGAACACUGGGUUGAUAGGCCGGAGGUGUACAGCAGUAAUGCCUAGCCGACCGGUACUAAUAGGCCGAGGGCUUGUCUUAC
This 1782-nucleotide ribosomal RNA is filed under the name Nocardioides lianchengensis. RNAcentral's name for it is "bacterial LSU rRNA". It matches the Rfam family "Bacterial large subunit ribosomal RNA", at positions 1267 to 2925 of the family's 2925-position model. Lineage: Bacteria; Bacillati; Actinomycetota; Actinomycetes; Propionibacteriales; Nocardioidaceae. The record is from RNAcentral.